CCUACGGGAGGCAGCAGUAGGGAAUUUUCGGCAAUGGGGGGAACCCUGACCGAGCAACGCCGCGUGAAGGAAGAAGGAAUUCGUUCUGUAAACUUCUGUUAUAAAGGAAGAAAGACGGAUGGAGGAAAUGACAUCCGAGUGACGGUACCUUAUGAGAAAGCCACGGCUAACUACGUGCCAGCCGCCGCGGUAAUACGUAGGUGGCAAGCGUUAACCGGAAUUAUUGGGCGGAAAGAGGGAGCAGGCGGCAGCAAAGGUCUGUGGUGAAAGACUGAAGCUUAACUUCAGUAAGCCAUAGAAGACGGGCAGGUAGAGUGCAGGAGAGGGUCGUGGAAUUCCAUGUG
Molecule: ribosomal RNA, 344 nt
Filed under: uncultured bacterium
Lineage: Bacteria
Description: partial 16S ribosomal RNA
Rfam family: Bacterial small subunit ribosomal RNA
Source: RNAcentral